Ochotona curzoniae (black-lipped pika) is the source of this 296-nucleotide long non-coding RNA. RefSeq lists it as uncharacterized. NCBI's taxonomy places the organism in Eukaryota, Metazoa, Chordata, Mammalia, Lagomorpha, Ochotonidae. The transcript is spliced from 3 exons. The record is from RefSeq and is a predicted model, not a curated record.
ACAGACUUGCUACAAUGCCUUUCUUCUCACCAUGGAUCACAGCAGUUUUCAUCAUUUCCUUGACAUUCCCUUUUCAUUCUGAAACUUCUUUUGAAUCAGCCGCUCGCCGACCUCCAAGGUGUGAUAUGACUGCAUAUGCUGCUUGCUCUGAAGAACAUGAUCCUGUCUGUGCAAGCAAUGGCAGGACUUACGGCAAUUCUUGCAAGUACUGUCAUGCACUCAAGUAAGAAUAACAGUUCAAAUAGCAACUCUUCAGCAGAAAUGGAGAGACUACCACAAAAUGAUAGCAAAAACGA